CCUCAAAUCAAGUAGGACUACCCGCUGAACUUAAGCAUAUCAAUAAGCGGAGGAAAAGAAACCAACAGGGAUUGCCUCAGUAACGGCGAGUGAAGCGGCAAAAGCUCAAAUUUGAAAUCCCCCCGGGGAGUUGUAAUUUGAAGAUUGCGUCUUGGAGGCGACCGUGUCUAUGUUCCUUGGAACAGGACGUCACAGAGGGUG
Molecule: ribosomal RNA, 201 nt
Filed under: Kodamaea ohmeri
Lineage: Eukaryota; Fungi; Ascomycota; Pichiomycetes; Serinales; Debaryomycetaceae
Description: partial 28S ribosomal RNA
Rfam family: Eukaryotic large subunit ribosomal RNA
Source: RNAcentral